Triticum aestivum (bread wheat) is the source of this 149-nucleotide long non-coding RNA. RefSeq lists it as uncharacterized. The transcript is spliced from 3 exons. The record is from RefSeq and is a predicted model, not a curated record. NCBI's taxonomy places the organism in Eukaryota, Viridiplantae, Streptophyta, Magnoliopsida, Poales, Poaceae.
GCUCUUCCGAUCGGUUGAAGGGAGAUAGUGCAUCAAGUUAUUCGCAAGGGCCAACUUGAUCCUCUUCCCCAGGGAUCUCAGAUGAGGGAAGCCUAGGAGAGCCGCCGACUCCAACUAUCGUCCAUGUACGAUCCAUACUAGAUCUGACC